UACGAAGGGGGCUAGCGUUGCUCGGAAUCACUGGGCGUAAAGGGCGCGUAGGCGGCCAUUCAAGUCAGAGGUGAAAGCCCAAGGCUCAACCUUGGAAUCGCCUUUGAUACUGUUUGGCUUGAGACCGGAAGAGGUAAGUGGAACUGCGAGUGUAGAGGUGAAAUUCGUAGAUAUUCGCAAGAACACCAGUGGCGAAGGCGGCUUACUGGUCCGGUUCUGACGCUGAGGCGCGAAAGCGUGGGGAGCAAACAGG
Molecule: ribosomal RNA, 253 nt
Filed under: uncultured bacterium
Lineage: Bacteria
Description: partial 16S ribosomal RNA
Rfam family: Bacterial small subunit ribosomal RNA
Source: RNAcentral